This 173-nucleotide small RNA is filed under the name Salinivibrio sp. RNAcentral describes it as "Manganese sequence". It matches the Rfam family "Manganese Mn2+ riboswitch aptamer (yybP-ykoY)". From Rfam's summary of the family: This RNA was originally discovered in E. coli during a large scale screen and was named SraF. The family was later found to exist upstream of related families of protein genes in many bacteria, including the the yybP and ykoK genes in B. subtilis. The specific functions of these proteins are unknown, but this structured RNA element may be involved in their genetic regulation as a riboswitch. Lineage: Bacteria; Pseudomonadati; Pseudomonadota; Gammaproteobacteria; Vibrionales; Vibrionaceae. The record is from RNAcentral.
CCGUCUUGGGGAGUAGUCGACCACUGCACAGUCAGUGGGGCAAUCAUCAACAUAGUUGAAGCAAAAUCUUCAUGGUGAUUGCAAGCCUGCCAUUAGGUGCUCUGGGCUUGACGAGACCAACGACAAUCGCACGAACCGGGGUGGGGCGUGUGUGUUGUCGUGGUUGAAUCAUA